RNAcentral lists this ribosomal RNA (497 nucleotides) under uncultured bacterium. RNAcentral describes it as "partial 16S ribosomal RNA". It matches the Rfam family "Bacterial small subunit ribosomal RNA", at positions 28 to 507 of the family's 1533-position model. The record is from RNAcentral.
GAUGAACGCUGGCGGCGUGCCUAAUACAUGCAAGUCGAGCGAACAGACGAGGAGCUUGCUCCUCUGACGUUAGCGGCGGACGGGUGAGUAACACGUGGAUAACCUACCUAUAAGACUGGGAUAACUUCGGGAAACCGGAGCUAAUACCGGAUAAUAUAUUGAACCGCAUGGUUCAAUAGUGAAAGACGGUUUUGCUGUCACUUAUAGAUGGAUCCGCGCCGCAUUAGCUAGUUGGUAAGGUAACGGCUUACCAAGGCAACGAUGCGUAGCCGACCUGAGAGGGUGAUCGGCCACACUGGAACUGAGACAAGGUCCAGACUCCUAAGGGAGGCAGCAGUAGGGAAUCUUCCGCAAUGGGCGAAAGCCUGACGGAGCAAAGCCGCGUGAGUGAUGAAGGUCUUCGGAUCGUAAAACUCUGUUAUUAGGGAAGAACAAAUGUGUAAGUAACUAUGCACGUCUUGACGGUACCUAAUCAGAAAGCCACGGCUAACUACGUG